Molecule: ribosomal RNA, 479 nt
Filed under: uncultured bacterium
Lineage: Bacteria
Description: bacterial SSU rRNA
Rfam family: Bacterial small subunit ribosomal RNA
Source: RNAcentral
GAGUUUGAUCGUGGCUCAGAUUGAACGCUGGCGGCAGGCCUAACACAUGCAAGUCGGGCGGUAGAGAGAAGCUUGCUUCUCUUGAGAGCGGCGGACGGGUGAGUAAUGCCUAGGAAUCUGCCUGGUAGUGGGGGAUAACGCUCGGAAACGGACGCUAAUACCGCAUACGUCCUACGGGAGAAAGCAGGGACCUUCGGGCCUUGCGCUAUCAGAUGAGCCUAGGUCGGAUUAGCUAGUUGGUGAGGUAAUGGCUCACCAAGGCGACGAUCCGUAACUGGUCUGAGAGGAUGAUCAGUCACACUGGAACUGAGACACGGUCCAGACUCCUACGGGAGGCAGCAGUGGGGAAUAUUGGACAAUGGGCGAAAGCCUGAUCCAGCCAUGCCGCGUGUGUGAAGAAGGUCUUCGGAUUGUAAAGCACUUUAAGUUGGGAGGAAGGGCAGUAAAUUAAUACUUUGCUGUUUUGACGUUACCGACAG